GGGUUAUUUGUAACGGACAUCUCCUCUGCCCAUUACGAAUAAUGGGUUAUUCAUAACGGACAUCUUCCAUGCCUGUGACAAAUAACCCCGUUAUUCGUAACGGGCACCUAUUCUGCCCAUUACAAAUGAUCUAUGACCCAAUUAAAAAAAAAAAUUCCAGAAUAUGCUUGACAGCUAGCUAGCAUAAAUUUUAUAAAUAAAUGAGAGAAAAAUUUAUUUUAUACAAUGUAUGUAUAUGCUUCAUAUACAAUCUGCUUUUAUAUUUAUUCAUUAUUUCCUAAAAAAUAACAAAAAAAAAAACUAAAAAGAAAAAACAAAUGUCAAUUGAAAUUCUGUGACCCUUAUUGCAAGCUCCUUGUAAAAAGUACUCCAUAACAAGGUUCCUAUAUAGACCUGAAUCACCAUUAGUAUCUCCACCUUGAAAGAAGAAAUCUGCAUCAAAUUGAGAAGUUAUAAGAGCAAAUACUUACAAAGUUACAAGUAUUGACCAAACUAUAAUAGCUUACAUUUAGGGCUGGCAAAAACUAACCCGACCCGAAAACUCGACCCGAGCCCGACCUGAAAAAAGCGGGUUAGGGUUGAGAUUUUCGACUCGAAAACUUAAAUGAGUUGACACGAACUUGAACCCAAAAUUAAAUGGAUUAGGUUAAGGUUGAAAAUCUCAACCCGAAAACGACCCACUUAACCCAAAAUAAAUUUUAGGUCAAAAUCAUGUCGGGUCAACCCCAACCCGAACCCGACCUAAUAACCCGAACUAUUUUAAGUAAAAUAAAAAAAAAUAAAUAAAAAAUAUAUAUACAAAAAACGUAAAAAGCUUUAAAAGUGUAAAUUAGCCCAGCCCAAAUUCCUAAGUGGCUUCCACAUAUAAAAUAAAAACCCUAAAUUUUCAUUUUCUACCCUCAUUUUUUAUCAGCCGUUUUAUCCCCUUCUCUGUUCUCUCUCUUUAAUUUUCUCUCUCCUCAAAAACGACACACUUAAAAACCCUAAAAGGCUAAAAUCACUUCACCAUUGUUUUAUCAGAGUUCUUCCAGUCUUCACAAUUAUUGAAUUCGACUACAAUUGUUAUCUUCUCACUUCCAUACGGAAGUAAUUAUGUCCAACAAUAUUCUAGAACUUUCUUCUAGAGAGGAAGAAAUUGAUUCAACAAUGGAUAAUAAGGGAAAGAGAAAAAGCCACAAAGCUUCCCCUAAAAAACCUCGUGUGCUUCUUACUGUGUUGGAUCCACGAUAUAAGCUUCAAUGUGUCCAAUGGGGUUACAAGAGGAUCUAUGGAGACAGUGUUGAAUAUGAGCUUGAGUUCUCUAAGUUAGCGAUUCUAUAAGGGAAUUGUACAAUUCUUAUGCUGCAUCACAAUCUUCAUCAAGCAAUGAAAAUCUCAAAAUCUACUUAUUCUGAGGUUGUGAAGGAAGCUGAUGAUGAUAUUAUGAAGGAUUUUGAUGAUUUUUGUGGCUAUGAACUCAGAGAUGGAUAUGUAUUAUGAGGAGCCACUUAUGCCUCGAUCCAGCAACAUUGAUAUUUUAGCUUAUUGGAGAACUUGUUCAGUUCGUUACCCUGUUUUAGCUCAAAUGGCUAAGGAUGUUCUUUCUGUCCCCGUAUCAAAUGGCUAAGGAAGUCGGGUACUUGAUUGUUUUGAAGGUCAUUGAAGCCAGAAACAGUGGAGUCUAUCAUUUGCUUAAGGGAUUGGGCUUUUGGGGAAGACUCUAUGGAUCAAUUAUGAAGCUUGAGAUGGAGAACAAGAAUGAUACGCCACAUACAUCACCUGAUUUGAAAAACUUGAAAGCCCUUUUGAAUCCUCUAAUGUUAUUUGAGAACUUGAAUAUUUGAACUUGUUUGGUUUGUAAUUUGUUAGUACACUCUUGGUUUGUAAUUGAUAAUUAGGUACAGUACUUAGACUAUGUUGUUUUAUGUUGGACUAUUUCUUAUUUGUUAGGUUUGAUUGUUUGAAGCAUUUAAUGUUUGUGGUUUGAAACUUGGUUGUUCACUUAAGGUCAUAUUCAGAUUAAUUUCAGGUCAAAUUCAGGUUAA
Chenopodium quinoa (quinoa) is the source of this 2024-nucleotide long non-coding RNA. RefSeq lists it as uncharacterized. The transcript has 5 exons. NCBI's taxonomy places the organism in Eukaryota, Viridiplantae, Streptophyta, Magnoliopsida, Caryophyllales, Amaranthaceae. The record is from RefSeq and is a predicted model, not a curated record.